RNAcentral lists this ribosomal RNA (253 nucleotides) under uncultured bacterium. RNAcentral describes it as "partial 16S ribosomal RNA". It matches the Rfam family "Bacterial small subunit ribosomal RNA", at positions 524 to 776 of the family's 1533-position model. The record is from RNAcentral.
UACAGGGGGGGCAAGCGUUGUUCGGAAUUACUGGGCGUAAAGGGUUCGUAGGUGGCCACCUAAGUCAGACGUGAAAUCCCUCAGCUUAACUGGGGAACUGCGUCUGAUACUGGGUGGCUUGAGUGCAGGAGAGGAAUGCGGAAUUCCAGGUGUAGCGGUGAAAUGCGUAGAUAUCUGGAGGAACACCGGUGGCGAAGGCGGCAUCCUGGACCGGUAUUGACGCUGAGGAGCGAAAGCCAGGGGAGCAAACGGG